Brassica napus (rape) is the source of this 2446-nucleotide long non-coding RNA. RefSeq lists it as uncharacterized. Lineage: Eukaryota; Viridiplantae; Streptophyta; Magnoliopsida; Brassicales; Brassicaceae. The record is from RefSeq and is a predicted model, not a curated record. The transcript is spliced from 2 exons.
GGUCAAUUCUGCAAAAAACCCAAAAACAAAAACCCUAAUUAAACCUGGACCAAAAUCAAAAUUGAACACCAUUAGUUUAGAUAAAAUGUAUUUUAAAAUAUAUUAAAAAAAAAUUAACCAUUUGAUUAAAAUAAAAUUUUAAAAUAUUAAAUGUCAUAACAUUCUUUUGUUUUGUUUUUCUCGCUCUUUUACAGUACUAAGUCCCAAUACGUUCUACAACCAAUUUUCAAAAAAAUAUAUUAUUACUAUGUCGUGGUUUGCUCUACGGAUUAUUGAUUUCGAAAUUUUUGUAAUGAAAUUUAUUGUUUGGAUACCAAAAAUUAAGGAAUCAGUCUUUGAUAAUACAAAUUUUUUAUUGUUUCUGAAAGUAAAGGAUGUGCACAUGUAUUUUUUUUUAAUCCUGAGUGUUGUUAAGAGUUUUAUCUGUCGUUGGAUCCAAAGAUGCGUGAUGACUUUAUGUAUGUGAAUUUAGUUUGUUUUUCCAUGUGAAGCCUUGUAUGGUGUCAAUGGUGUUGUCAAAGUAGAAGCAAGUCCUUGGUGUUGUGGCGAGCAAUAGUUUGUCCUUAAUGGUGAAACACAUUUUAGUAAAUGGUUUAACAUAUGAAAUUUUGUUUGUUAUAUUACCUUUAUAUAAUCGUGGAAAGAUGCUUGUAAUAUUUACCUUUGUCGUGGUCUGUAACUCCCUAUAAUGAGCAGCCUUGUUGUCCCACAUAGUUUUUUUUUUUUGAUCAAAAUUGUCCGACAUAGUUAGUUAGACAAUUUUACAAUAAUGAUGUGCAUGAGAAUAAUUUGUUUCAAUAUAUCUUUUAUUUUAUGUGUUGUUGGUACUUUUUCAAAACAACCAACAACCACCUUUGUUUUUGUUGUGGAAUUGUGAUUAUCGCUUCCUUGCAUCGGUAGAAUUCUUGAAUCAUGCGUAUUUGUCUAUCUGAUUUUAGGAUAUAGUAGACUUCUUAUGUAGUAUACUAAAAAUUUGAGAUCAUAAAAAUUAAAAUAAUUUAGUUUUUGUAUGAAUAAAUUAAAAUAAUAGUCUUCGAAUUAGUAUUCAACUAUUAUGAAAUCACAUAUUAAAAUACUGAAAAAAGAAUAAAAACAAUAAAAUUUUGAUAGUAAACUUCUAAAAAGUAUACUAAAUAAGACUUACAACAAAAUCUAUUCUAUAAUUUUAAAUAUAGUAUACUUGAAAAAAGUCUAUUAUGUCAUAAAUUUUUAACUUAGUUGCAAUUUUUGUCUUUUUAUAUAAAUGAAAUUUACACACUCUCUAUAAAAUGGUUGUAUAAUUUUCUAAAACUCUCUUUUUUUUCUAUAAAACUCUUUCGCUUCUCUCUAGUCUCUUUGAAUUUAAACAAAAAAAUUAUUAAUUUAAUUUAUGAACUAUUUCAUGUCUUUCUUACAAUAUUAUCUUGUUUUUGUAGGCCUAUAGAUAUAUAAAUUUUAAAUGAGUAUUUUGUGUUUACUUUGUUAAUUCAAAUAAAGUUAAUAGAUUCAAACUCUAAUCUCCUCAAGAUGACAAUCUUUCUGAGAAGGUUGGCGAUGAUGUUGUUCGUCCUAUAUGUUGAGGAAGAGCCACUUAAACGAAGCAUAGAUUCAGAUAAUGACUCGGUAAUCUAAAGAUCAACUUUAAUUUUGUUAACUGCAAUCCCUCUGAAGUUGGAUUAGAGUUAUUUCUUCAGGAAGACGAAGCGGCUAGUGCUGUGAAUCCUUUGUCUAGCGAUGCUGCUCACAUCCAUCCAUUGUUACAAAAUCUCCUGCUCAACAAUGACAUCCAGAGGGUAUAAUUUCCACUCAUAAAUACUGUUUUGAUAUUCGUCUUCUUGGUGUAUACUAUCUUUUAUGUGCUUUGGCAGGAAAGAUAAAAUUUAAUCGGAUUGAUUCAACUCCAUGAUCCAACUGCUCGUAAGUUUUCUCUUUCCUGACCAGAGUUUUGCUUUUUUCUGUUUAACUAGUUUGAUUGAUUAUGAUCUUGAUUUGUACUGAGAGAAAUGCACCCAUGAAUGCAUGAAGGCGAGCAGGACCAGUUUGCUUCUCAUUUUGCUUUUGACAUAGAGUGGAAGUUGGUGUGAGGAUAGGAAUAAAAGCUUUUAAGUUCCGAAAAUUCACAGACAGGAGCGGAGGCAGAUCUAGCUUCGGAAAAAAAAUGGUUUUGAUUGUUCCAAUGGUUUUAAAUGCUGCAGUCAGAAGAAAGCAAAUGCUCAGCUAGAAGAACAGAUACAGCGCUUGACGAAGAGCAGUGAUCCAUAAAGACAUGAUUUACUUUGCACUCCAUUUUGAGUGAGGCACCACUCUGUUUGCGUUCCUUUUUCUCUCUUAGAAAACGUUAUGGACAUAUAAACCGCUUUGGUUAAUCCAUUCUUUGAUUGAACAGAUACAAGUUUCCAUAUAAAAUGAUCCUCUGUUUUGUAUAAAAAUAAUAUUGACCUUUGAAACAAAGAGAGAGAAGAAAUGA